AGUUGCAGAGAAUGAAUCAUCAAGCGACGAAAUCGACGGUAUUGAUGCUCAGACACAAACACAGAGAGAAGAAAAUGAUCCCGUAAUGGAAGAUACCAUGAUAGACAACAUUGCGAAAGAAAUUUUAGCCGAAUACACCAUUGAAAACGCUCAAUUGUUUAGUCUUUUAAAACAACAAUGCAAAUUGGAGGAUACAAUGGGUUUCACCACCUACUUUCUUCACGGGUAAAAAAAAAAGGACUAUAGAAAGGACAUUUUGCGACAAAGAGACGAGGAUGGUCUUACACUUCUUCAUUAUGCUGCAAUUGGAGGUUCAACUCGAAUAUUUGAUGAUAUUUUACAAACUGAUAACAGCCUGAAAGUUGAUGUUAAAUGUAAUAGAGGUCAAACGGUUCUGCACUAUGCAAUAAGAGAAGGUCAAGAGGAAAUGAGUAUUUACCUAAUUACAAAAUAUGAGGAACUGCUUUGUGGCAUCAAAUCUGAUACAAAACAAAGACCUGAAAUUCAUGAAGAUUCAGAAAAGAAAAUUACUCCAAGCUUUGAAUCAAUCCAUUGGAUUGCAUGGAUUGGUAAAUUAGACCUUCUGGAAACUAUGAAAAGGAGAGAUAUGAACACACCGUCAUGUCUUGAUAUGGCAAAAACAACAAGAAAUGGUCUUAAUAUUUUACACAUAGCUUGCUUGGCAAAUGAUAAUACUUUCUGUAAACAUGUAAUUGAAAAUGAAAAUCAAAUUGACAUCUUUACAAUAGAUACCUGUGGAUGGAAUGCUGCUCAUUUUGCUGCAAGAGCAAAUAACUAUGCCUUUUUUGAUAUACUUAAACAAUGUAAAAAAGAAAAUCUUAUUGAAAUCAAAACCAAAAGUGGAAAAACAACUUUACAUAUAGCUUGU
This is a long non-coding RNA of Saccostrea cuccullata (small rock oyster), 889 nucleotides long. RefSeq lists it as uncharacterized. The record is from RefSeq and is a predicted model, not a curated record. NCBI's taxonomy places the organism in Eukaryota, Metazoa, Mollusca, Bivalvia, Ostreida, Ostreidae. The transcript has 3 exons.